This 320-nucleotide unclassified non-coding RNA is filed under the name plant metagenome. RNAcentral's name for it is "partial contains 5.8S ribosomal RNA, internal transcribed spacer 2, and large subunit ribosomal RNA". The stretch from base 1 to 105 matches the Rfam family "5.8S ribosomal RNA", at positions 50 to 154 of the family's 154-position model. The record is from RNAcentral.
GAAAUGCGAUAAGUAAUGUGAAUUGCAGAAUUCAGUGAAUCAUCGAAUCUUUGAACGCACAUUGCGCCCGCCAGUAUUCUGGCGGGCAUGCCUGUUCGAGCGUCAUUACAACCCUCAGGCCCCCGGGCCUGGCGUUGGGGAUCGGCGGAAGCCCCCUGCGGGCACAACGCCGUCCCCCAAAUACAGUGGCGGUCCCGCCGCAGCUUCCAUUGCGUAGUAGCUAACACCUCGCAACUGGAGAGCGGCGCGGCCACGCCGUAAAACACCCAACUUCUGAAUGUUGACCUCGAAUCAGGUAGGAAUACCCGCUGAGCUUAAGC